GCGGGGGAGGGAAGGCGCCGGCACCGGGGCUGCAGACCCGGCGGUUCCUCACCGCGCCCCGGAGCUCCGGGAACGGAGAACGCCACCUGAAAUAUUUCCAUUUUUUUUUAUUUACUUGUUUCUACCGGCCGGAAGGCGCUGGGCCCGCGGGUCCCCCGGCACAGGGGGUGCUCUGCCCGCUGUGCCGUCCGGCACUAGCUCCUCGUGCUUACGGGCAUCAGCUGAUGGGAGGCUCGGGCACGUGUGAGGGGGUCGCACCCGGAGCUCAGGGUGGCCGAGAACCGUGCGAAGGGAACAAACCUCGAAGGCAACAAACCUCAGGUGACGGGUCCGCACGAGCCGCCGCCCACGAGUUGUGCUGAGGGGGAACAGCCGCGUGAGGCCCCUCCAGGAGAACAGCGGUGCCUGUGGAGAUGUAAAGGGACAACCGGUGCAUGAGACACAGGGAGAUCUCGGGAGCAUCUCAAGCAGCGUGGAUGAGGUUGUGACCCUGAGCCAACGAGGGGAGAUGGGCAAACACUCCGUUCUGUUGCAAGUGUCCUGGGGCUUGCUGGAGCAGCAGGAGUGGCCAGAAGAAAAGAAAGAAGCUGUUGGUGCUGCUCUGAAAAUCCCUGUUUGGAAAGGAUUGGGAAGAUGGAACCUUGGAAGCCCACAAUUGAAACGAGGCUAUAAGAAAAUGACUUAUUUUCAGGAUCUGGAUGUAGGAAUUUCAAACAUCAGAGGUAGUUUGGGGCAGGGUAUAACAAGAAUUAUGUGUACAGUUCUUUAAUUGUUAAUCUCUUCUCACUGAUUGUUUAAAGUAUAUUUCAUGGGACCUCAAUUAAACUUAUUUGUAUUUAAA
Chiroxiphia lanceolata (lance-tailed manakin) is the source of this 841-nucleotide long non-coding RNA. RefSeq lists it as uncharacterized. The record is from RefSeq and is a predicted model, not a curated record. NCBI's taxonomy places the organism in Eukaryota, Metazoa, Chordata, Aves, Passeriformes, Pipridae. The transcript is spliced from 3 exons.